This 1429-nucleotide ribosomal RNA is filed under the name Lactiplantibacillus plantarum. RNAcentral's name for it is "bacterial SSU rRNA". It matches the Rfam family "Bacterial small subunit ribosomal RNA". The record is from RNAcentral. Lineage: Bacteria; Bacillati; Bacillota; Bacilli; Lactobacillales; Lactobacillaceae.
GCAAGUCGAACGAACUCUGGUAUUGAUUGGUGCUUGCAUCAUGAUUUACAUUUGAGUGAGUGGCGAACUGGUGAGUAACACGUGGGAAACCUGCCCAGAAGCGGGGGAUAACACCUGGAAACAGAUGCUAAUACCGCAUAACAACUUGGACCGCAUGGUCCGAGCUUGAAAGAUGGCUUCGGCUAUCACUUUUGGAUGGUCCCGCGGCGUAUUAGCUAGAUGGUGGGGUAACGGCUCACCAUGGCAAUGAUACGUAGCCGACCUGAGAGGGUAAUCGGCCACAUUGGGACUGAGACACGGCCCAAACUCCUACGGGAGGCAGCAGUAGGGAAUCUUCCACAAUGGACGAAAGUCUGAUGGAGCAACGCCGCGUGAGUGAAGAAGGGUUUCGGCUCGUAAAACUCUGUUGUUAAAGAAGAACAUAUCUGAGAGUAACUGUUCAGGUAUUGACGGUAUUUAACCAGAAAGCCACGGCUAACUACGUGCCAGCAGCCGCGGUAAUACGUAGGUGGCAAGCGUUGUCCGGAUUUAUUGGGCGUAAAGCGAGCGCAGGCGGUUUUUUAAGUCUGAUGUGAAAGCCUUCGGCUCAACCGAAGAAGUGCAUCGGAAACUGGGAAACUUGAGUGCAGAAGAGGACAGUGGAACUCCAUGUGUAGCGGUGAAAUGCGUAGAUAUAUGGAAGAACACCAGUGGCGAAGGCGGCUGUCUGGUCUGUAACUGACGCUGAGGCUCGAAAGUAUGGGUAGCAAACAGGAUUAGAUACCCUGGUAGUCCAUACCGUAAACGAUGAAUGCUAAGUGUUGGAGGGUUUCCGCCCUUCAGUGCUGCAGCUAACGCAUUAAGCAUUCCGCCUGGGGAGUACGGCCGCAAGGCUGAAACUCAAAGGAAUUGACGGGGGCCCGCACAAGCGGUGGAGCAUGUGGUUUAAUUCGAAGCUACGCGAAGAACCUUACCAGGUCUUGACAUACUAUGCAAAUCUAAGAGAUUAGACGUUCCCUUCGGGGACAUGGAUACAGGUGGUGCAUGGUUGUCGUCAGCUCGUGUCGUGAGAUGUUGGGUUAAGUCCCGCAACGAGCGCAACCCUUAUUAUCAGUUGCCAGCAUUAAGUUGGGCACUCUGGUGAGACUGCCGGUGACAAACCGGAGGAAGGUGGGGAUGACGUCAAAUCAUCAUGCCCCUUAUGACCUGGGCUACACACGUGCUACAAUGGAUGGUACAACGAGUUGCGAACUCGCGAGAGUAAGCUAAUCUCUUAAAGCCAUUCUCAGUUCGGAUUGUAGGCUGCAACUCGCCUACAUGAAGUCGGAAUCGCUAGUAAUCGCGGAUCAGCAUGCCGCGGUGAAUACGUUCCCGGGCCUUGUACACACCGCCCGUCACACCAUGAGAGUUUGUAACACCCAAAGUCGGUGGGGUAACCUUUUAGGAACCA